This 789-nucleotide ribosomal RNA is filed under the name Amycolatopsis sp. Its description in RNAcentral is "bacterial SSU rRNA". It matches the Rfam family "Bacterial small subunit ribosomal RNA", at positions 515 to 1370 of the family's 1533-position model. Lineage: Bacteria; Bacillati; Actinomycetota; Actinomycetes; Pseudonocardiales; Pseudonocardiaceae. The record is from RNAcentral.
CAGCGCGUAUAGUAGGUGCAGCGUGUCGGAAUAUGGGGUAAGAGUUGUGGCGUUGUCGGUCGUCGGAAACUCACGCUAACGUGAGCUGCGGCGAACGGCAGACUGAUUCGUAGGGAGACGGAAUCCUGUGAGCGUGAAUGGCAGAAUCAGAGGACACCGUGCGAGGCGGUCUCUGGCCGAUAUGACGCGAGGAGCGAAAGCGUGGGAGCAACAGGAUAGAUACCUGGUGUCCACGCGUAAACGUGGGCGCUAGGUGUGGCGACAUCCACGUGUCCGGCCGUAGCAACGCAUAAGCGCCCGCCUGGGAGUACGGCCGCAAGGCUAAACUCAAGGAAUGACGGGGCCCGCACAAGCGGCGGAGCAUGUGGAUUAUUCGAUGCAACGCGAAGAACCUACCUGGGCUGACAUGCGCCAGACAUCCCUAGAGAUAGGGCUUCCCUUGUGGUUGGUUACAGGUGGGUCAUGGCUGUCGUCAGCUCGUGUCGUGAGAUGUUGGGUUAAGUCCCGCAACGAGCGCAACCCUUAUCCUACGUUGCCAGCGCGUUAUGGCGGGGACUCGUGGGAGACUGCCGGGGUCAACUCGGAGGAAGGUGGGGAUGACGUCAAGUCAUCAUGCCCCUUAUGUCCAGGGCUUCACACAUGCUACAAUGGCUGGUACAGAGGGCUGCGAUACCGCGAGGUGGAGCGAAUCCCUUAAAGCCGGUCUCAGUUCGGAUCGCAGUCUGCAACUCGACUGCGUGAAGUCGGAGUCGCUAGUAAUCGCAGAUCAGCAACGCUGCGGUGAAUACG